Molecule: ribosomal RNA, 398 nt
Filed under: Danielozyma ontarioensis
Lineage: Eukaryota; Fungi; Ascomycota; Pichiomycetes; Serinales; Debaryomycetaceae
Description: eukaryotic LSU rRNA
Rfam family: 5.8S ribosomal RNA (bases 108-260)
Source: RNAcentral
CAAGGUUUCCGUAGGUGAACCUGCGGAAGGAUCAUUAACAUUUAUUGUACACACUAUUUUUUUAGCAACACACACAACAAGCAGUAAAGUCAACACACCAAAGUCAAAACUUUCAACAACGGAUCUCUUGGUUCUCGCAUCGAUGAAGAACGCAGCGAAAUGCGAUACGUAGUAUGACUUGCAGUUUUCGUGAAUCAUCGAAUCUUUGAACGCACAUUGCGCCUCGUGGCAUUCCACGAGGCAUGCCUGUCUGAGCGUCGUUUUCCCCUCACGCAAGUGGUGUUGGGCAGCACGGCGUGCGCUCGAAAGACAUGGAGCCGACGUUCUACGAUUCGUCGGCGGCCCAUUGACUUCGACCUCAGAUUGGUAGGGCUACCCGCUGAACUUAAGCAUAUCAA